This 2613-nucleotide long non-coding RNA is filed under the name Mus musculus (house mouse). Its description in RNAcentral is "predicted gene 5886". The record is from RNAcentral. Lineage: Eukaryota; Metazoa; Chordata; Mammalia; Rodentia; Muridae.
GAGAAAGUCCAGAACCUUCUCCAAGAUGCUUGUGGUCCUGCUCACAGCCGCCUUGCUGGCCCUGAGCUCAGCUCAGAGCGCAGAUGAAGAUGGCCAGAGUACAUCUGAUGUCCAAGAACAAGGUAAAGCCCAAUCCAUCAUCCUUGCAUGUUGUUCAAGUGUCUGUGUUUCAGUGCAUUGUCUCAUCAUAUAUGUCUUAUAGAUGAGUAAAUAUUAAUUUUGCUAUGUAUAUAAAUAAAUAUUCCCCACGCUGAUGAUGGAGACAUGAUUAAAGUCAGCCAACUGAACGAAGGACAGACAAAGCUUCCAUAACUGUAGAUGAGAUUUGUUGGCUUCCCAGCCCAAAUCACCACUGUGAGAUGAGGCAGAAAACAAAAGAGCUUUUAUACUGAUUUCUCUGAUUGUGAGAAAAUCCAUGGUUCUAUUUUUCUUGGUGUUCCUGUAUAUAAUAAUUGAGUUUCAAGAACAAAAUGGAGUUGUUGGCUUUUCCUGUUUUCUCUUUGCCUUCCUGUAACUAGGUAAUUGUCUUUGAUUUAAGAAAAAAAAAACAGAAGCAAAUUGUCCUUAGGGAUGUAGUAUAUUUAUUCUACACCAUUAUUGUUAGUCUUAUUCUGUAUUAAAAUAUAUAGGUAUUGAACUGUUAACUUAUAUUUCAUUCUUGAGAUUUCAAACUCUAAUUAAAACACUUUGCACAGCAGAGAUUUUAUUAUUGUGACCUGAAGUACAACUUUCAGUUCUCCUGAUGUUAACCUAAGUAGUUUUGAAAUGUGGAAUUAGAAAGCCAAGAUGAGGAGAGGAAGUUAGCAGCUGGCAGAAAGGAUCUGAGAGAAAGGAUUGUGUGAUUAGGUUAGGGAAAGAAAUCAAGGGGAAAGUCUUCUAUCAAUGUGUUCACAUCUUCUGGACCUUUCUAUGCAGCUCCUGUGAAUCAAACCCAGGUCUCAGGUUCAGAUCCUUCUUCUGCUGAGGUAAAUACAGUGAAUGUCCAAGAGCCUGAAUCAGCAUCAGCAGGAAAUGAGUCUUCUGCCAACUCUGGGAGUGAACAGGAACAGCAACAGCAAGCUCAGGAAUCUCAAGAAGCAGAGAGUCAGAGGCCUUCUGACUCUGCUGUGAAAGAAUAGGAAAGUCAAUCUGGAGAAGAAAGGAGAAAAGAGGUUCAAGGGCAACAUAACUUUCAUCCUGAAAAGCCAGGAGUAGUACAUAUGAAAGUAAAACGUAACAAUCCUAAUUCUCAUAAAAGAUUUAACCAUAAUCUACCCAAUAAAAGAAAAUUCGAAUCCCCUGACAAAGGCAACCAGAGACGAAGAAGUAUGGCUUAGUAAGCAAUCAGCAGCAAAUAAACUAGGUAAGAUCAAUGAGUCAAACUUAAUAAAGAUAAACACUUUGCCUCAGUAUUUGUCAAAUCAUAGUGUGAAAAUUUGCUAGUUGUCAGCAUAUGGACACGGCAUCAGCAUUUCAAAUCUUAGCAUUCAGACAGUACAAGGUGAUACGUCUUUGAUGGUCUAAGCCAGUAUUGCACAAGAUCUCCAAUGUACUUGUGCCCCUGAGGAACAUAACUCCACAGCUGUUUUAUGCUCCAUUGCUCCUUUAUUAUUAUUAUUUAUUUUAUAACAAUGUUUACUCUUUGCAUUGACUUCAUAUUUAGAAGUACAGAAGCAAUCUUUCUUUGGCCUUAUGUCCUCUGAAUUCACUGACUUCUCAACUCAACUGUGUACAAUCUGUCCCACUCACACAGGGAGGUGCAGAUCCAUUUCCUCUAAGUGAUACAUUACAGAUAUCUCUAACCUUGUUCAGAUUUUAAUAUGUUCUUCUAAAUUGGUAUAUGCCCAAGUUGAUCAGAGUCUACAUCCCUAGGAGUACAUUUGGCUGACUAUUAUAGUUAAAUAUUAUAGUAAGUUACCAUGUUUUCCUUGAAAGUCAUUAAUUUAAUCCUUUGGCAAUAUCGUUAGAAAUAAUAGUAUGUGUAUGUGAGUAAAUAUUAUACACAAUUGAGGUUUAUAUGAAAUGUUUAUGCAGCCCUUUAGGAUAUUCAUUUCCAAAGCCACAUUUCUUAGAAAAGUUCAUAGCUUCAUAAAGUCUUUGGAUCUCCCCAUAGCAUGUUUUGCUUGGUUGUAUUUUCCUGGUUGCAUACACAGGAUUCAAUUGCAUGGUCUGACAUGAUGUAUUUAUGGCUUGUUCUGUUAAUAAAUAUUUAGGUCAGUUUCAGUUGUUCAAUCACUCAGGGAACAUAGCACUAAAAUAUUUGGAAAUAUAUCCUGGAACCUUUUAUAUCAGAACUAAUGGGUGAACAACCUAAGAUACUCAUUCACUUUCAUCUUGUAAGAAAUAGUUUAGUCCCAUUUUCUUCUCUGUGCCCGACAAGAGUAAAUCUGAGAAAAUGGAGAAGGAAUGAGGUGUAGGAGAUGCAGGAAGAAGAGGGUGUAGGCUCCCACCCCUCUCACUUCUGGGGUACAAAUAGCAGUUAAGGAACGUUCAGCAUGUCUUAAUUUUUCAAUAACUUUUCUCCUUAUUUUUCUUUUCCAGAGAGUACCUGAUUAAAAUAUGUCCUUCAAAUGAUUAGAUCAACGAAUCAAUGUUGAUUGUCUAUACUAUUCCAAUAAAAUUUUCAGCAUGCAA